Molecule: ribosomal RNA, 598 nt
Filed under: Solicoccozyma terrea
Lineage: Eukaryota; Fungi; Basidiomycota; Tremellomycetes; Filobasidiales; Piskurozymaceae
Description: LSU rRNA
Rfam family: Eukaryotic large subunit ribosomal RNA
Source: RNAcentral
AGGACUACCCGCUGAACUUAAGCAUAUCAAUAAGCGGAGGAAAAGAAACUAACAAGGAUUCCCCUAGUAACGGCGAGUGAAGCGGGAAAAGCUCAAAUUUGAAAUCUGGUAGCCUCAGGCUGCCCGAGUUGUAAUCUAUAGAAACGUUUUCCGCGUUGGCCCAUGUACAAGUCUCCUGGAAUGGAGCGUCAUAGAGGGUGAGAAUCCCGUCCUUGACAUGGACUACCAAUGCUUUGUGAUACGUUUUCAAAGAGUCGAGUUGUUUGGGAAUGCAGCUCAAAAUGGGUGGUAAAUUCCAUCUAAAGCUAAAUAUUGGCGAGAGACCGAUAGCGAACAAGUACCGUGAGGGAAAGAUGAAAAGCACUUUGGAAAGAGAGUUAAACAGUAUGUGAAAUUGUUGAAAGGGAAACGAUUGAAGUCAGUCAUGUCUAUUGGACUCAGCCGGUUCUGCCGGUGUACUUCCUUUAGAUGGGGUCAACAUCAGUUUUGAUCGCUGGAAAAGGGCAGGAGGAAUGUAGCACUCUCGGGUGAACUUAUAGCCUUCUGUCGUAUACAGUGGUUGGGACUGAGGAACGCAGCAUGCCUUUAUGGCCGGGGU